RNAcentral lists this ribosomal RNA (330 nucleotides) under uncultured bacterium. RNAcentral's name for it is "bacterial SSU rRNA". It matches the Rfam family "Bacterial small subunit ribosomal RNA", at positions 568 to 898 of the family's 1533-position model. The record is from RNAcentral.
CGCGUAGGUGGUAGUGCAAGUCUGGGGUGGAAUCCCAGGGCUUAACCCUGGAACUGCCUUGGAAACUGUAUUACUUGAGUCAGUGAGGGGAGGGUAGAAUUCCCGGUGUAGCGGUGAAAUGCGUAGAUAUCAGGAGGAAGGCCUGUGGCGAAGGCGGCCCUCUGGCGCUGAACUGACACUGAGGCGCGAAAGCGUGGGUAGCAAACAGGAUUAGAUACCCUGGUAGUCCACGCCCUAAACGGUGGGUACUAGGUGUGGGGCUCGUAAGGGUUCCGUGCCGAAGCGAAAGCAUUAAGUACCCCGCCUGGGGAGUACGGCCGCAAGGUUGAA